CUUCUCAAGGGUUCAGAUUUAAAUAAAUGAAAGACGGCCUUUCAUUUCUAUUUUGCUAGACCUCAUUUUGAUCAUUGUUCUGAACUUUGUUAACCUCCAUAGCUGCAAAGGAAAAUUAAGAAUCAGUGAUAAAAUCAAAUAAAUUAGUACUUGCUAAACACACACAUAUAUAUAUAGGAAAAAUACUCUGUGUAUUUACGAGAGAGUGAGACCUACAUUGUCUGCUUCCGCUUCAUCUGCCAGCAAGCCUUUCUGUAGCCUGACAGCCUUCGGGAAACAUCAAUGUGUUUGAGGAGAUUGUCCUGAUCAUGGCACUUUCAAG
This 322-nucleotide long non-coding RNA is filed under the name Prunus persica (peach). RNAcentral describes it as "long non-coding RNA (PPER_LNC005208)". The record is from RNAcentral. Lineage: Eukaryota; Viridiplantae; Streptophyta; Magnoliopsida; Rosales; Rosaceae.